UACGAAUUGUGCAAACGUUAUUCGGAAUCACUGGGCUUAAAGGGUGCGUAGGCUGCUGUGAAGGUCUGGUGUGAAAUCCAACGGCUCAACCGUUGAAUUGCACUGGAAACCACAUGGCUGGAGUAGGACAGAGGUGAGCGGAACAGAUGGUGGAGCGGUGAAAUGCGUUGAUAUCAUCUGGAACACCGGUGGCGAAAGCGGCUCACUGGGUCCUAACUGACGCUGAGGCACGAAAGCCAGGGGAGCAAACGGG
RNAcentral lists this ribosomal RNA (253 nucleotides) under uncultured bacterium. RNAcentral describes it as "partial 16S ribosomal RNA". It matches the Rfam family "Bacterial small subunit ribosomal RNA", at positions 524 to 776 of the family's 1533-position model. The record is from RNAcentral.